Dermacentor albipictus is the source of this 1736-nucleotide long non-coding RNA. RefSeq lists it as uncharacterized. Lineage: Eukaryota; Metazoa; Arthropoda; Arachnida; Ixodida; Ixodidae. The record is from RefSeq and is a predicted model, not a curated record.
UUUAUCAAUGCAUUUAUUUCAACUAUUUGACAGACGGCAGCAGUGAAUAAAAGCUGCCAUUUGGCAGCUUGACAAGCCCGCUGCCCGUUACAAGGGUUCACGGAAACACAGCUUUAUUAGAAAUUUCAUCAGAUUACAUCAUUAAACAAGGUAGCAAAUACAAUGGAGACAUCAUGUAUAUGAAAUUAUGCUCUCGCGUUAACUUUCACGUGAAACUUGCUUGAAGCACAAAAACAAAUUGAAAUUGAUAGAAUCCGUGAUUUAGAAGACUUGGCAACAUAUAGCACAAGUGUUGGAUUCCAGAGUUGUAAACUUGUAGUUGGUACCAACUAUAGUUUGCCUCUCCGUGUCUCAAAACUCCGUUAUUUUCUUCUCUAAAGAAAGUGCUGUCAAAUUUAAAUUGCACACUUAAACUAUAGUGUGAUGAAGAACGCUGUAGUGGGCCAUCCUCUCCAGCACUUUCUAGUGGGUCAACCUCCAGUGCUGUGCUCGAGGAACACCGCCCAUGCCGAGUCCGUGCCCUACUAUGACGGUCGGCCCAAACACUGGUGAUAAACACCUUCACAAGAGAUGGCGAGUGCUUUGGCUUGCAAAAUCAAUCCUGGAACUUUGAUCCCGUACCGGACGCUCAGCCAUGCCUGAAGACGCAUCCCAGAAAGCGCCUCCUCAGUCGGUCGUGCGCUGGUGUGCCUCACCACAGGGACUUUGCCAUUUUCAGUGGCAUGGAAGACACUGGCGUGGAGGACUGGCCGAUGUCAUAUGAGACGGAUGAGCCACUGUACCCUGGAUCACGUGUGACCGUUGCUUUGGCAGGGGGCUGAUGACAAGAGUCCGAUGACGCCGUUGGACCUUCAACAGGUGCACAGAUUCUCUUUCGGAUGCGAAAGACAGAAGCUCUAAAAGCGCACACUGAACAAUUGAGGCAAUGGCAGCAAAGAAGCGUCCCCAUGCGCGCGUGAUCACCUGGAACGCCUUCAAGCUUCUUGCUUCAACCGCCAGAUGGCGCAGCCUGAUCUACAAACUGCAUUGCAGGGUGCCUAUGGCGCCUGUACAACUGCAGGUAUGAGCCUGGGUACUUGCACAAUGUGCUCAGCAGUGGGCGCACAGCUGUGAAUGCUUGGGGAGCUAUCUGCAGAGAUAAACUGGGCCCACUUGUGCAGCUUCCGGCAAAGCUUAAUGCGGCGUGCCACUGCGAUAUCCUUGACAGCUACCUCGUCCCGUUUGCCCUGGACGGGCCCUUUAAGGAUGGUUUUUACUGGCUUCAGCAGGACCACAGCCCCGUCCACAAAGCUAAAGUCGUCAAAGACUUCUUAGAAGAGCGAGGAGUUUGACAGCUGCAAUAGAUGCCAAAGGGCGCGGACUUCAACAUUAUAGAAAAUGUGGGGAGUUCUUCAAUCGAACUUGGCACACAUGAACUUGGGUGCAACAAGCAAAGAAGUGUGGCUUGCUGUUGCAGCGGAAUAGUACCGCAUUAAGCAAGACUGCGAGUUUGUGCAAUCUCUGUACGAUUCUCUGCAGCGGAGCAUGGAAGCAGCCACUCAUGUUAAUGCCAGUUACACACAACUCUGAACCGCGUUUGCUUUUGCACCUUGUAUUUUUUGUUCUUGUGAAACUAACUCGAUGAAAUUCUUCCUACUAAGAAAAAUAAAGAAUCCCGUUGGUACGUUCGACGUUCUGAGCAUGCGUUACUGUUACAAGAAGGCUCAAGAGAUGGCGCCACCAUCCCGCACGUGCUG